AACAGUAAAUAUUUCUGUGUAUUUUGCACAUACCUUUGAGUGGUAUUUAAGAUGCCAAACAACUUGUUAAGUUGGGUGAGAGAAGUACUUCCUUCUCAUAGUGUGAGCCUGAUUUAUAUAAUUAGCAUCAUGAUCCUGGAGAGUUUACUGGAGACAGAUUUUGUGUGUCCCUGCCAUCCUCCCUGGAAUCAAAUAUUUUUAGCUGCAGUCGCUUUUAUUCCAGCAUUAACAUUAUUUAUACUUAUGCCGGACAAGUGUGAAUGCAGUUGUGGUGCGAUAUUACAGCGUCUUUAUCUCCCACUUGCAUGGGUGACUAUUGUUUUCAUCGACGGAAAAUAUUUUGCUUGCGCAUUUACAUAUUGGGAAGGAGUUUAUGUGCCCAUUAGCCAAGGUACUUCUCAGAAAUGGUGUAAACCGUGGAAUUCAACAGAGGAAAAUAUUAAACAAUUCAUGACUAAAAAUCAAGAUUUGUACUUUACAUCUCAGGGCAUCGGCUACGCCUGUGCUUUCGCUAUCCCUGUGUUACUUAUCUACCGGAUAGCAAAAUAUCAGUGUCAAAAGUGUUUUGGGGAUCCGGAGACCACCACUGAAGGACCGAAUACCAGGCAGGUCCAGGGCUUAACAAGCACAGCCACAGACAGGACCAACUCCACGCCUUUCUCCGAUGCAUCCCAUGGGCAAAGUGAACAGCUGUUAUUCUCCAGCACAGAGUUAGAAAAUGUCCAUAGACAGAUUAAUCGACUGUGGCAGAUACAGGAAGACAUCAGAAAUAACCUAGAGAUAGCCAAAGUCGAGAUGACUGAGCGUAUAGAGAACAUCAGCAGACUUCAGGCCCCAACAUCAGCAUAUGGCCAGCUACAAGGCAAUGUACCAGAGUCUCCUGAAGACCUACUGUCCCAGGUCUGACCCAUCCAGUCCCAGGAUGUGGAAGGCCAAUCAGAGAGCAGGUACCGACACGUGGCCUCACACUGUAAACACUCUGCCUGCGGGUGACAUGCGUCAGUUACCCAUCACCUUUCCCUCACCAGACCCCCAACCCACUCCCUGCUGAAUAUUGCAGCCAGACCUCCCCACCAGCAUGGCAACUGCAGCAACAGUGAGGAAAUAUUACUGAGGCCCAUCUCCAACUAUUCCACAUCCCCACAGCAAAGAUCUUGUCCACUGAGGAUAAACAAUCUGCUGUCCCCUGAUAGUAUACAGAUGUUGAAGUUCUUGUAUACCAUUUCAAUAGCCGACUCCUACCUGCAUUGUCCCACACUGUAUUCAGACACUACGGAAACCUUCAUUGAGGAUUGGACAGCAACACCAGCUUGCUCUGAAGAGGAUUGCUAGUAUCAUGGACUUACCCAAUGUGAACUCCAACGACCCGUCAGCCUUUGAGAAUUUUGCCCUCCAAGUACUAUAACUGGAUGUUUAAGGCAUUAGGCCCUGCAGGGGGUGUUCAGUUUGAGUGGGGCCCUCAAGUAGCUUGCCAACAGGCAGAAUUUCCCCGCUAUUCAGGUUUUUCAAGCUGACAUCAAAGGUCACAUGACAUGUAAGUCAAACACACUUGUCUCAGACAAGAAUUCACAAUUUCAAAUUAAAAAAUGUGUUACACACCUUCAAAAUCUAAAACUA
Brienomyrus brachyistius is the source of this 1617-nucleotide long non-coding RNA. RefSeq lists it as uncharacterized. The record is from RefSeq and is a predicted model, not a curated record. The transcript has 4 exons. NCBI's taxonomy places the organism in Eukaryota, Metazoa, Chordata, Actinopteri, Osteoglossiformes, Mormyridae.